Molecule: regulatory RNA element, 110 nt
Organism: Lactonifactor longoviformis DSM 17459
Lineage: Bacteria; Bacillati; Bacillota; Clostridia; Eubacteriales; Clostridiaceae
Rfam family: TPP riboswitch aptamer (THI element)
About the family: Vitamin B(1) in its active form thiamin pyrophosphate (TPP) is an essential coenzyme that is synthesised by coupling of pyrimidine and thiazole moieties in bacteria.
Source: Rfam
GAAUAACAACAGGGGAGCCGGAGGAGUCCGGCUGAGAUUAAAACCGUAUCUGUUUUUAACCCUUUGACCUGAUCUGGGUAGUGCCAGCGUAGGGAUGAAUAAGCAGGAAG